Molecule: ribosomal RNA, 3000 nt
Filed under: Yersinia ruckeri
Lineage: Bacteria; Pseudomonadati; Pseudomonadota; Gammaproteobacteria; Enterobacterales; Yersiniaceae
Description: 23S ribosomal RNA
Rfam family: Bacterial large subunit ribosomal RNA
Source: RNAcentral
GGUUAAGCGACUAAGCGUACACGGUGGAUGCCUAGGCAGUCAGAGGCGAUGAAGGGCGUGCUAAUCUGCGAAAAGCGUCGGUAAGCUGAUAUGAAGCGUAAUAACCGACGAUACCCGAAUGGGGAAACCCAGUGCAAUUCGUUGCACUAUUGCAUGGUGAAUACAUAGCCAUGCAAGGCGAACCGGGGGAACUGAAACAUCUAAGUACCCCGAGGAAAAGAAAUCAACCGAGAUUCCCCCAGUAGCGGCGAGCGAACGGGGAAGAGCCCAGAGUCUGAAUCAGUUGGUGUGUUAGUGGAAGCGUCUGGAAAGUCGCACGGUACAGGGUGAUAGUCCCGUACACAAAAACACACUGGCUGUGAACUCGAUGAGUAGGGCGGGACACGUGACAUCCUGUCUGAAUAUGGGGGGACCAUCCUCCAAGGCUAAAUACUCCUGACUGACCGAUAGUGAACCAGUACCGUGAGGGAAAGGCGAAAAGAACCCCGGCGAGGGGAGUGAAAUAGAACCUGAAACCGUGUACGUACAAGCAGUGGGAGCACCUUCGUGGUGUGACUGCGUACCUUUUGUAUAAUGGGUCAGCGACUUAUAUUUUGUAGCAAGGUUAACCGAAUAGGGGAGCCGUAGGGAAACCGAGUCUUAACUGGGCGUCUAGUUGCAAGGUAUAGACCCGAAACCCGGUGAUCUAGCCAUGGGCAGGUUGAAGGUUGGGUAACACUAACUGGAGGACCGAACCGACUAAUGUUGAAAAAUUAGCGGAUGACUUGUGGCUGGGGGUGAAAGGCCAAUCAAACCGGGAGAUAGCUGGUUCUCCCCGAAAGCUAUUUAGGUAGCGCCUCGUGAACUCAUCUUCGGGGGUAGAGCACUGUUUCGGCUAGGGGUCCAUCCCGGAUUACCAAACCGAUGCAAACUCCGAAUACCGAAGAAUGUUAUCACGGGAGACACACGGCGGGUGCUAACGUCCGUCGUGAAGAGGGAAACAACCCAGACCGCCAGCUAAGGUCCCAAAGUCAUGGUUAAGUGGGAAACGAUGUGGGAAGGCAUAGACAGCCAGGAUGUUGGCUUAGAAGCAGCCAUCAUUUAAAGAAAGCGUAAUAGCUCACUGGUCGAGUCGGCCUGCGCGGAAGAUGUAACGGGGCUAAACCAUGCACCGAAGCUGCGGCAGCGAACGUAUCACUUAAAACGCUUAACGUUGCGAAGCGACGUUCAAGCCACUAAAACGUUGAGUUGGCCUGAGAGCUGACAGACGGAAAGGCGUUUUAAGGAUACGUUCGUUGGGUAGGGGAGCGUUCUGUAAGCCGUUGAAGGUGGCCUGUGAGGGCUGCUGGAGGUAUCAGAAGUGCGAAUGCUGACAUAAGUAACGAUAAUGCGGGUGAAAAACCCGCACGCCGGAAGACCAAGGGUUCCUGUCCAACGUUAAUCGGGGCAGGGUGAGUCGACCCCUAAGGCGAGGCUGAAAAGCGUAGUCGAUGGGAAACAGGUUAAUAUUCCUGUACUGGGUGUGACUGCGAAGGGGGGACGGAGAAGGCUAGGCUAGCCGGGCGACGGUUGUCCCGGUUUAAGCAUGUAGGCGGAGUGACUUGGUAAAUCCGGUUGCUUAUCAACGCUGAGGUGUGAUGACGAGCCACUACGGUGGUGAAGUAGUUGAUGCCAAGCUUCCAGGAAAAGCCUCUAAGCAUCAGGUGACAUUCAAUCGUACCCCAAACCGACACAGGUGGUCAGGUAGAGAAUACUCAGGCGCUUGAGAGAACUCGGGUGAAGGAACUAGGCAAAAUGGUGCCGUAACUUCGGGAGAAGGCACGCUGGCAUUAGGUAAAGAGACUUGCUCUCGGCGCCGAAGCCAGUCGCAGAUACCAGCUGGCUGCAACUGUUUAAUAAAAACACAGCACUGUGCAAACACGAAAGUGGACGUAUACGGUGUGACGCCUGCCCGGUGCUGGAAGGUUAAUUGAUGGGGUCAGCCGCAAGGCGAAGCUCUUGAUCGAAGCCCCAGUAAACGGCGGCCGUAACUAUAACGGUCCUAAGGUAGCGAAAUUCCUUGUCGGGUAAGUUCCGACCUGCACGAAUGGCGUAAUGAUGGCCAGGCUGUCUCCACCCGAGACUCAGUGAAAUUGAACUCGCUGUGAAGAUGCAGUGUACCCGCGGCAAGACGGAAAGACCCCGUGAACCUUUACUAUAGCUUGACACUGAAUAUUGAGCCUUGAUGUGUAGGAUAGGUGGGAGGCAUCGAAGCGUGGACGCCAGUCUGCGUGGAGCCAACCUUGAAAUACCACCCUUUAAUGUUUGAUGUUCUAACUCGGCCCCAUAAUCUGGGGUGAGGACAGUGUCUGGUGGGUAGUUUGACUGGGGCGGUCUCCUCCCAAAGAGUAACGGAGGAGCACGAAGGUUAGCUAAUCACGGUCGGACAUCGUGAGGUUAGUGCAAAGGCAUAAGCUAGCUUGACUGCGAGAGUGACGGCUCGAGCAGGUACGAAAGUAGGUCUUAGUGAUCCGGUGGUUCUGAAUGGAAGGGCCAUCGCUCAACGGAUAAAAGGUACUCCGGGGAUAACAGGCUGAUACCGCCCAAGAGUUCAUAUCGACGGCGGUGUUUGGCACCUCGAUGUCGGCUCAUCACAUCCUGGGGCUGAAGUAGGUCCCAAGGGUAUGGCUGUUCGCCAUUUAAAGUGGUACGCGAGCUGGGUUUAGAACGUCGUGAGACAGUUCGGUCCCUAUCUGCCGUGGGCGUUGGAAGAUUGAGAGGGGCUGCUCCUAGUACGAGAGGACCGGAGUGGACGCAUCACUGGUGUUCGGGUUGUCAUGCCAAUGGCAUUGCCCGGUAGCUAAAUGCGGAAAAGAUAAGCGCUGAAAGCAUCUAAGCGCGAAACUUGCCUCGAGAUGAGUCUUCCCUGGGGCUUUAAGCCCCCUGAAGGAACGUUAAAGACUAUGACGUUGAUAGGCUGGGUGUGUAAGUGCAGCGAUGCAUUGAGCUAACCAGUACUAAUGAUCCGUGAGGCUUAACCUU